GAUGAACGCUGGCGGCGUGCUUAACAUAUGCAAGUCGAGCGAAGCAGUUAAGUUGAUUUCUUCGGAUUGAUUCUUGACUGACUGAGCGGCGGACGGGUGAGUAACGCGUGGGUGACCUGCCCCAUACCGGGGGAUAACAGCUGGAACCGGCUGCUAAUACCGCAUAAGCGCACAGAGCUGCAUGGCCCGGAGUGAAAAACUCCGGGGGUAUGGGAUGGGCCCGCGUCUGAUUAGGUAGUUGGCGGGGUAACGGCCCACUAAACCGACGAUCCGUAGCCGGACUGGGAAGGCGACCGUCCACAUUGGGACUGAGACACGGGCCAAACUCCUACGGGAGGCAGCAGUGGGGAAUAUUGCACAAUGGGGGAAACCAUGAUGCAGCGACGCCGCGUGAGCGAAGAAGUAUUUCGGUAUGUAAAGCUCUAUCAGCAGGGAAGAUGAAGACGGUACCUGACUAAGAAGCGCCGGCUAACUACGUGCAAGCCGCUGCGGUAA
This 495-nucleotide ribosomal RNA is filed under the name uncultured bacterium. Its description in RNAcentral is "partial 16S ribosomal RNA". It matches the Rfam family "Bacterial small subunit ribosomal RNA", at positions 28 to 523 of the family's 1533-position model. The record is from RNAcentral.